Molecule: long non-coding RNA, 318 nt
Organism: Etheostoma spectabile (orangethroat darter)
Lineage: Eukaryota; Metazoa; Chordata; Actinopteri; Perciformes; Percidae
Exons: 3
Source: RefSeq, a predicted model, not a curated record
CCAGUGGAGUCCAGGGUGAACAUUUUCAUUAACAGCUUUGGGUCCAUCCAGGAAACUACUAUGGACUACAGAGUGAACAUAUUUCUUCGUCAGAGAUGGAAUGACCCUCGCCUGCGACUUCCCACAGACUUUAAGAACGACGCACUGACUAUUGACCCCAACAUGUUCCAGUGUUUGUGGAAACCAGACCUUUUCUUUGCCAAUGAGAAAAACGCAAACUUUCACGAUGUCACCCAGGACAACAUUCUCCUCUUCAUAUUUAGGAAUGGAGAUGUAUUAAUCAGUAUGAGGCUGUCCGUGACGCUGUCCUGUCCUUGG